RNAcentral lists this ribosomal RNA (570 nucleotides) under Streptomyces coelicolor. RNAcentral's name for it is "bacterial SSU rRNA". It matches the Rfam family "Bacterial small subunit ribosomal RNA", at positions 173 to 760 of the family's 1533-position model. The record is from RNAcentral. Lineage: Bacteria; Bacillati; Actinomycetota; Actinomycetes; Kitasatosporales; Streptomycetaceae.
GACACAGGAAGGCAUCUUCUCUGUGUGGAAAGCUCCGGCGGUGCAGGAUGAGCCCGCGGCCUAUCAGCUUGUUGGUGGGGUGAUGGCCUACCAAGGCGACGACGGGUAGCCGGCCUGAGAGGGCGACCGGCCACACUGGGACUGAGACACGGCCCAGACUCCUACGGGAGGCAGCAGUGGGGAAUAUUGCACAAUGGGCGAAAGCCUGAUGCAGCGACGCCGCGUGAGGGAUGACGGCCUUCGGGUUGUAAACCUCUUUCAGCAGGGAAGAAGCGCAAGUGACGGUACCUGCAGAAGAAGCACCGGCUAACUACGUGCCAGCAGCCGCGGUAAUACGUAGGGUGCGAGCGUUGUCCGGAAUUAUUGGGCGUAAAGAGCUCGUAGGCGGCUUGUCACGUCGGAUGUGAAAGCCCGGGGCUUAACCCCGGGUCUGCAUUCGAUACGGGCAGGCUAGAGUUCGGUAGGGGAGAUCGGAAUUCCUGGUGUAGCGGUGAAAUGCGCAGAUAUCAGGAGGAACACCGGUGGCGAAGGCGGAUCUCUGGGCCGAUACUGACGCUGAGGAGCGAAAGC